This 3421-nucleotide small RNA is filed under the name Rattus norvegicus (Norway rat). RNAcentral's name for it is "uncharacterized LOC108352202". Lineage: Eukaryota; Metazoa; Chordata; Mammalia; Rodentia; Muridae. The record is from RNAcentral.
GCAAGAAACCAAUAGAUAUUAUUUUAUUACUAUUACUUUCAUUAGGGGAAAAUCGUUCCAACGAGUUUCAGGGUAGAAUGCCUGUCCCCGAUUCCAGCCUGCGUCCUUUCUAGAGAUUGGGUCGUUUCCUGUUAAAGUGUUUCCUGGAACAAUGGGGUUUCCCCUGAUCCAGGGGCCUCGUUCCCUUCCCCAGGAUUAAGCGCCCGCUUCCAGGACUCUUCCUCGAUCAGCCAAGUGUGGUUUAGAAAGAGAAAGAAAAAAGAGGCCGUUCAUAGUUUGUUUCAAGAGCAAAGUAACCUGGGGACUCCAGGUCUCAUUAGGCAGCCUCUGCAGAGUUCCAGAGCAGCGCGAUCCGGAUUCGUACUCAGACUUGUUAGUCACAAGCCAGAAGGCCUGGCCUCUGGGCUGAAGACUCUGGGAACAAAGCACUCUGGGAACAAAGCACUCUCGCGAGAUCUUGGGUUUACUGAAUUAGAACGUGCGACUAGAAUCCAAAAGACGGUGUGGUGAGAUGAUUCAACCACGUACCAAAUGCGGGUACCAGCAAUCAAGCAGCAGAGGGUAUUUAUAAAACACCAGCUGGACGGGGCGCAGUGGUGAAUGCCUGAGAUCCCAUCCCAGCACUUGGGAGGCUGAGGCAGGAGGAUUGCCACGAGUUUGAAACCUGACGACAUAGGCGAUCCUCAUGUAUUCAACAGGGCUACCGGUGCUUCAGUGUAACAAUUAUGUGGCUUCUCAGAGCAGUGGUCUGUACACAGUUCUCGGAGCUGGAUAGGAGCUGAGCCUCACCCCCAGAGAGAAAGAAACUUUAUGUUCCCAUGCUUGUGGCAUUUCUGGGGCUCCAUUGACAGCUGUUUGGCAGCAGGAGCUGUCGUUUCUAAUGGCUAUUAAAGUCAUGUUACCUAACAGCCAUGGCUCGGGGUUGUUAUGAUUCUACUGUGGCUUGGAGCCUCCAGAUCAGCCUAAACAAGCCAUUAGAGGAGCCGGAGUGUAAGCCGAGAGCCAAGCAGCCUCGGCUGACUUCAGAAAAGCAAGGAGACUCGGCGUACAAGUCUAGGAGAAGGGAAGUCAACAAACGGCCUUGAGAUAAAAGUAAGUAUGAGGAGGAGGAAUAAUAACUCAGAGCCUCUAGCCCACAGCCAACAGCUUUAAAGCGACAGGGGAGCCACGGGACAGGAAGAGAAUGUCCAAGACCCUGGAGGGCGAACCGUAACUUGGAUGAGAAGUGGGAUUACAGCUGGUCCAGAGGAUCAACUGAGGGAACAAAGGUACGAACCACCGGGAAAUAAACGACGUUUCCCCGAAACCCCGAAUCUGAGCAGAUUUCUUAGUCUGUGUCACAGCGAGCAUUACCCUUCAUGGUAGUUUCCUCAUUGGAGUUUCUUUGAGAUUUUCUUUUGCUCCUUUUAUUAACUGGCUACUUUCAUAAGUCCUCGUUAAACUGUAUAUUCAAAAUAAAAAAAUUUAAAUGGGGUAUGGUGGUGCACGUCUAUCAUCUCAGCAGAGGAUUUGGAAUUCAAGGCUAGCCUCAGCUAUAUAGGGAGUUCAGGGUCAGCCUGGGCUAGAUGAGACUCUGUCUCACAAAACAAGAAGAAGGAACAAAUCAACUUUGGGGACUCUUCUUGAAGGUACAACAUCCCUACAAACUAGCCGUGAGCACCUGGCCCGAGCUACCAGGUCUUCCAGUGUGAUCAAGCUCUUGGUCCGUCUUUCCUUUGAUGGUUGAACCUGGUGAUAGUCAGGCAUCUGUGAAAUUCCCUCACGCCUUCUGCUAAGGCACUCUACCCUGAUUCCCAGCAAAUGCAUUUGAAUCAGGGUUCACCCUUCCCACCUGUUUGAUCUCACAUCCGGGGCUACUUUCCACGCGGCCUCUGUGUGGUGUGGCCUUCGAGUCUCCCUCUCUAGGCCCUGCUGGUACGAUCGAUCUUUUAUAUUUACCUUCCCGUCUAGUGUGAUUUCCAAGGCUGUGCUGCAGGGUCCUGAAAGACUUCCCCACUUACAACAUAUCUAUGCUUCCUAGACUUCCUGACCUCCUCCUUAGUAACAUCUGGACACUCGACGUUCCCAUCACAACGUAGCACAAUGAGCCACUUGUUUUCCAUGUGCUUCUGGAAGCAGAGCCCAGGGCUGCUUUGCACACCUCGUGCUUCUGGCUCUUCAUGCAGCAGUCUUUUCCUAGAAGGUAUGUAAUAGGCAUUUGCAUGGUUAAGUUCCCUCAGCUGACUUGGAGUGUCACGGUAGAAGCAGCCAGUGUUCCUUCCUGGUGAGGGUCGGGUCUAUUUUAACCUCAGUGCCCCUGGGAGCCCCAGGUAAGCAGUGGGUGCAGAAUGAGUGCUCUGCACAUGCGUCCUGAUGGCCCCCACACUCGGGGGGGAAAGGACGGCUUCAGAUGUCUGAUGCAGACUGGCAGGUUUAUCAGACGACGAGAGAGGGCUGCCUGCGCCGCAUAUCUGAGGGUAUGGAGUGCACAGUGUGAGGUCAAGAGAGUAAAUGUGUAUUUCUGUCACUUGGACACAUACCAGGUCGCUUGGAUGUGAUGGGAAUUGUGCCUGCUAACGUGGCAAAUUCUCCCCCUGGCAGGAGGGCCCAAGUUUGCUGGCUGCCUACGCUAGCAGACUGGCAGAACCCAAGGCAUCCGGGGUACAGCUGUCAGAGCAAGAACAAAGGUGGUGCGAAUUCCUGAUGAGGGGGGACCUUGUGCUCAGGGCAUCUGCAGUGUUUAAUCUAGAAAGAAGGAAAGUGGUGGUGGGCCACAGUUGGGAGGUGGGCCAUGCUGCUGUGGGCAGCAGGAGGCUGAGAGCCAACUGCCCUUGCUAGUUCUGUGACCUUUCUCUAUCAGCCCCAGGCUAACACUAGAGCUUCUUGGGCUCAAAAGUUGUUUGUGAAUGGGACUUGUUCAAUAUCAAUGGGGUUGGGCCUUUAACCCAUUUUUGCCUAUGAGAAAAGUAGAGAGAGAAAGGCAGGCGUGUGCACAUUCAUACAAACAACAUUUAAUAGUUCUUCAUAUUUGAAUAGGAGCUUCAUUCGUCUUUGAUACAACACACUGAACUCUGUCACACACACACAUAUGACAUACAUAGUAUCUAAAAUGCAUAACUUCAACCUAAUCACAAAAUGUACCAGGCAAGGCCAAACUGAGAGAUGUACACAAACUGGCCAAGCAAUGCUGUCCUGAGGGUCAAGGCCAUGAAAUACAAGAAGAGUAAAGAACUAUUAAGGGAUAUCAUGGAGGGACCAAGGCAGUGGUUCUCUGCCUUCUAAUGCUAUGACUCAUUUUCUUUUUUAAAAACUAUACCUUCACCUAGAUUUUAAAAAAGAUUUAUUUGUUUACUUAUUUAAUGUACGAGUGAUCUAUUGCAUGUACACCAGCUUGCUAGACCAGGGCAUCAGAUCCUAUUAUAGAUGGGCUGGGAACUGAACU